RNAcentral lists this ribosomal RNA (461 nucleotides) under uncultured bacterium. RNAcentral's name for it is "partial 16S ribosomal RNA". It matches the Rfam family "Bacterial small subunit ribosomal RNA", at positions 28 to 506 of the family's 1533-position model. The record is from RNAcentral.
GACGAACGCUGGCGGCGUGCUUAACACAUGCAAGUCGAGCGGAAAGGCCCUUCGGGGUACUCGAGCGGCGAACGGGUGAGUAACACGUGAGUAACCUGCCCCAGACUUUGGGAUAACCCUCGGAAACGGGGGCUAAUACCGGAUACGACACAGCUUCGCAUGGGGUCUGUGUGGAAAGUUUUUCGGUUUGGGAUGGGCUCGCGGCCUAUCAGCUUGUUGGUGGGGUGAUGGCCUACCAAGGCGACGACGGGUAGCCGGCCUGAGAGGGCGACCGGCCACACUGGGACUGAGACACGGCCCAGACUCCUACGGGAGGCAGCAGUGGGGAAUAUUGCACAAUGGGCGGAAGCCUGAUGCAGCGACGCCGCGUGAGGGAUGACGGCCUUCGGGUUGUAAACCUCUUUCAGCAGGGACGAAGCGUAAGUGACGGUACCGGCAGAAGAAGCGCCGGCCAACUACGU